GGCUAUGGCGGCAGCCUACACAUGCAGUCGAACGGUAGCACAGAGAGCUUGCUCCUCGGGUGACGAGUGGCGGACGGGUGAGUAAUGUCUGGGAAACUGCCUGAUGGAGGGGGAUAACUACUGGAAACGGUAGCUAAUACCGCAUAACGUCGCAAGACCAAAGAGGGGGACCUUCGGGCCUCUUGCCAUCAGAUGUGCCCAGAUGGGAUUAGCUAGUAGGUGGGGUAACGGCUCACCUAGGCGACGAUCCCUAGCUGGUCUGAGAGGAUGACCAGCCACACUGGAACUGAGACACGGUCCAGACUCCUACGGGAGGCAGCAGUGGGGAAUAUUGCACAAUGGGCGCAAGCCUGAUGCAGCCAUGCCGCGUGUAUGAAGAAGGCCUUCGGGUUGUAAAGUACUUUCAGCGGGGAGGAAGGUGAUGAGGUUAAUAACCUUGUCGAUUGACGUUACCCGCAGAAGAAGCACCGGCUAACUCCGUGCCAGCAGCCGCGGUAAUACGGAGGGUGCAAGCGUUAAUCGGAAUUACUGGGCGUAAAGCGCACGCAGGCGGUCUGUCAAGUCGGAUGUGAAAUCCCCGGGCUCAACCUGGGAACUGCAUUCGAAACUGGCAGGCUAGAGUCUUGUAGAGGGGGGUAGAAUUCCAGGUGUAGCGGUGAAAUGCGUAGAGAUCUGGAGGAAUACCGGUGGCGAAGGCGGC
Molecule: ribosomal RNA, 700 nt
Filed under: Klebsiella oxytoca
Lineage: Bacteria; Pseudomonadati; Pseudomonadota; Gammaproteobacteria; Enterobacterales; Enterobacteriaceae
Description: bacterial SSU rRNA
Rfam family: Bacterial small subunit ribosomal RNA
Source: RNAcentral